GAGGCAAGGGGCUCACGUUGACCUCUCUCAGCGUGGGAGGGGCCGGUGUGAGGCUAGGGGCUCCCGCGGACCUCUGUCAGCCUGGGAGGGGCCGGUGUGAGGCUAGGAGCUGAGGCUGACCUGUCAGCGUGGGAGGGGCCGGUGUGAGGCAAGGGGCUCAGGCUGACCUCUGUCAGCGUGGGAGGGGCCGGUGUAAGGCAAGGGCUCACGCUGACCUCUCUCAGCGUGGGAGGGGCCGGUGUGAGGCAAGGGCUCACGCUGACCUCUCUCAGCGUGGGAGAGGGCCGGUGUGAGGCAAGGGCUCACGCUGACCUCUCUCAGUGUGGGAGGGGCCGGUGUGAGGCAAGGGGCUCAUGCUGACCUCUCAGCGUGGGAGGGGCCGGUGUGAGGCAAGGGCUCACGCUGACCUGUCUCAGCGUGGGAGGAGCCAGUGAGAGGCAGGGGCUCAUGUCUCUGGGCAGGGUGCCAGAGGCAUGAGUUGGGCAUCAACAGGCCACUGUGAGAAGGAGCUGGGCCGCAUGCGGGCUGCUGGGAGGCAGGCAGGGACUUGGCCCCGGGAGGCCGCCGUGGGGGCAAGAGCUGGGCCUGGAGAGGCCCCUGGGAGGCAAGAGUGGGGCCUGCAGAGGCUGUUCUCCAACCAGUGCUGGGCCUGUACAGGCCACCGGGAGGCAGGAAGUAGGCCCGAAGAGCUUGGCUGGAGAAAGUUCGGGGCCUAGAAAGGCGGUUGGGAGCUCGGCAGUAGUUGAGCCAAAAGAGCUUGCUUACUUGCUGGGAGGCAGGGCCGGGAGAGGCCGACUUCAGGACAACUUGGGCCUGCAGAGGUCGCCAAGAGGCCCAAGCUUGGCGUGGAGGAGCCCACCGACUGGAGACCAUUUGGGGCCUGCAGAUGCCAUUGGAGGGCAGGAGCUGAGCUUGGAGAGGCCACCGUGAGGCCUGACCUGGGCCUGGGGAGCUUGGCUUCGGGAAGUUGUGGGUCUACCAGGGCCGCUGGGAGCUGGGCAGGAACUGGGCCAAAAAAGGCUGUUGUGAGGCAGCAGUUGUGCCUGUAGACCCAGCCAAGAGGAAGAGGUGGGCCUGGAGAAGCCCCCAUAAGGCAGAGGUUGGGCCUGUAGACGCUGACAGGAGGCAGGAGCUGGGCCUGUAGAGGUCAACUUGAGGAGAUUUUGGGCCUUCAUAAUCCACCAGGAGGCAGCAGUUGGGACUAGAGAGUCUGACUUUAAGUUUUGGGCCCGGAGAUGACGUCCUGGGACAGGAGUUGAGCCUGGAGAGGCCACCGUGAGGCAUGAGCUGGAUGUAGAGAGGCCAGUGUGAGGCAAGACCUGGGCCUGUCUAGGCUGCUGGGAGACAGGCAGGAAUCUGGCCAGGGAAGGUUGCCAUGAGACAAAAAUUGGGCCUGGAAAGACCCUUGUGAAGCAUGAGCUUGGCCUAAAGAGGCCACUGGGUGGCAGGAGCUGGGUGUGUAGAAGCUGCUGAAAGGUUGGGAGCUUGGCUUGGGGGGUCCACAGUGAGGCAGAUGCUGGGCCUGAAGAAUCUGCUGUGAGGCAGAUGUUGGGACUGUAGAGGCCGACGGGAGGCAGAGGCUGUGCCUGGAGGGGUCACCAAGAUGCAGGAGCUGGGCCUGGAGAGGCUGCAAAGAAGCAUGAGCUGGGCCUGGUGAGGUCGACUUGAGAAAGUUCAGGGCCUGGAGAGAAGGCUGGGAGGCAGGAGCUGGGUCUAAAGAGGCCAUUGUAACGACGGAGCUGUGCCUGUGGAGGCUGUUGUGAGGCAGUAGGCUCAUCUGCGGAGACUGCCGUGAGGUAGGGUAUGGGCCUAAAUAGGCCAUUGUGAGUCAUGAGCUUGGUCUGUAGAGGCUGACUGGAGAAAGUU
This 1866-nucleotide long non-coding RNA is filed under the name Homo sapiens (human). RNAcentral describes it as "non-protein coding lnc-ZNF25-5:1". Lineage: Eukaryota; Metazoa; Chordata; Mammalia; Primates; Hominidae. The record is from RNAcentral.